This 409-nucleotide ribosomal RNA is filed under the name uncultured bacterium. RNAcentral's name for it is "bacterial SSU rRNA". It matches the Rfam family "Bacterial small subunit ribosomal RNA", at positions 28 to 428 of the family's 1533-position model. The record is from RNAcentral.
GAUGAACGCUAGCGGGAGGCUUAAUACAUGCAAGUCGAGCGGCAAGGUCUUCGGACCCUAGAGCGGCGCACGGGUGAGUAACACGUAGGUAACCUGCCCCCCAGUCUGGAACAACUAGAGGAAACUCUAGCUAAUGCCGGAUGAGACCACGAUCCCUUCGGGGGUUGCGGCCAAAGAUGGCCUCUACUUGUAAGCUAUCGCUGAGGGAUGGGCCUGCGGGCCAUUAGCUUGUUGGUGAGGUAACGGCUCACCAAGGCUGUGAUGGCUAGCUGGUCUGAGAGGAUGACCAGCCACACUGGGACUGAGACACGGCCCAGACUCCUACGGGAGCAGCAGUGGGGAAUAUUGCGCAAUGGGCGAAAGCCUGACGCAGCGACGCCGCGUGGGUGAGUGAAGGCCUCGGUCGUAA